AGGCUGCAACUCGCCUGCACGAAGUCGGAAUCGCUAGUAAUCGCGGAUCAGCAAGCCGCGGUGAAUACGUUCCCGGGCCUUGUACACACCGCCCGUCACACCAUGAGAGCCGGGAACACCCGAAGUCGGUAGCCUAACCGCAAGGAGGGCGCUGCCGAAGGUGGGUUCGGUAAUUGGGGUGAAGUCGUAACAAGGUACC
This 199-nucleotide ribosomal RNA is filed under the name uncultured bacterium. Its description in RNAcentral is "partial 16S ribosomal RNA". It matches the Rfam family "Bacterial small subunit ribosomal RNA", at positions 1302 to 1500 of the family's 1533-position model. The record is from RNAcentral.